CUUUUACUUUCAGUUCUUAGUAUUUUGGGGUCUGUUUUUUUUUUCCUCUCUCAAAAUUAAAACAAUAGAUUUGUUUCAAAUCUGUUGUUUUUAAAAUACAUAUUAAACAUUUACUCAAGCAUUUUGUAGUUUUUAUAUUAAAGAGAGAAGAAAAAUUUUAAAUUUCUUAUGUCUUGACAAGUAUUUAAAUUGUCAGAUGAUAUUUGUAUUAACUUUUUUUUCCCCUCUUAGGUUUUCUUCUAUUUUCAUAGCCAGCCAGAACAAUGUUCUACGCACAUUUUGUACUCAGUAAAAGAGGGCCUCUGGCCAAAAUUUGGCUAGCGGCCCAUUGGGAUAAGAAGCUAACCAAAGCCCAUGUGUUCGAGUGUAAUUUAGAGAGCAGCGUGGAGAGUAUCAUCUCACCAAAGGUGAAAAUGGCAUUACGGACAUCAGGACAUCUCUUACUGGGAGUAGUUCGAAUCUAUCACAGGAAAGCCAAAUACCUUCUUGCAGACUGUAAUGAAGCAUUCAUUAAGAUAAAGAUGGCUUUUCGGCCAGGUAUUGUUGAACU
Molecule: small RNA, 550 nt
Filed under: Pongo abelii (Sumatran orangutan)
Lineage: Eukaryota; Metazoa; Chordata; Mammalia; Primates; Hominidae
Description: retained intron
Source: RNAcentral